Molecule: ribosomal RNA, 274 nt
Filed under: uncultured bacterium
Lineage: Bacteria
Description: partial 16S ribosomal RNA
Rfam family: Bacterial small subunit ribosomal RNA
Source: RNAcentral
AUACAGAGGGUGCAAGCGUUAAUCGGAUUUACUGGGCGUAAAGCGCGCGUAGGCGGCUAAUUAAGUCAAAUGUGAAAUCCCCGAGCUUAACUUGGGAAUUGCAUUCGAUACUGGUUAGCUAGAGUGUGGGAGAGGAUGGUAGAACUCCAGGUGUAGCGGUGAAAUGCGUAGAGAUCUGGAGGAAUACCGAUGGCGAAGGCAGCCAUCUGGCCUAACACUGACGCUGAGGUGCGAAAGCAUGGGGAGCAAACAGGAUUAGAAACCCGGGUAGUCC